AACGACAUCGAAAGCUUGCUUUUGAUGGGCGUCGACCGGCGCACGGGUGAGUAACGCGUAUCCAACCUGCCCACCACUUGGGGAUAACCUUGCGAAAGUAAGACUAAUACCCAAUGAUAUCUCUAGAAGGCAUCAGAAAGAGAUUAAAGAUUUAUCGGUGAUGGAUGGGGAUGCGUCUGAUUAGCUUGUUGGCGGGGUAACGGCCCACCAAGGCGACGAUCAGUAGGGGUUCUGAGAGGAAGGUCCCCCACAUUGGAACUGAGACACGGUCCAAACUCCUACGGGAGGCAGCAGUGAGGAAUAUUGGUCAAUGGGCGAGAGCCUGAACCAGCCAAGUAGCGUGCAGGAUGACGGCCCUAUGGGUUGUAAACUGCUUUUAUAAGGGAAUAAAGUGAGUCUCGUGAGACUUUUUGCAUGUACCUUAUGAAUAAGGACCGGCUAAUUCCGUGCCAGCAGCCGCGGUAAUACGGAAGGUCCGGGCGUUAUCCGGAUUUAUUGGGUUUAAAGGGAGCGUAGGCCGGAGAUUAAGCGUGUUGUGAAAUGUAGAGGCUCAACCUCUGCACUGCAGCGCGAACUGGUCUUCUUGAGUACGCACAACGUGGGCGGAAUUCGUGGUGUAGCGGUGAAAUGCUUAGAUAUCACGAAGAACUCCGAUUGCGAAGGCAGCUCACGGGAGCGCAACUGACGCUGAAGCUCGAAAGUGCGGGUAUCGAACAGGAUUAGA
Molecule: ribosomal RNA, 724 nt
Filed under: uncultured bacterium
Lineage: Bacteria
Also listed under: 1 other name
Description: bacterial SSU rRNA
Rfam family: Bacterial small subunit ribosomal RNA
Source: RNAcentral